RNAcentral lists this transfer RNA (80 nucleotides) under Phaeobacter phage MD18. It matches the Rfam family "tRNA". From Rfam's summary of the family: Transfer RNA (tRNA) molecules are approximately 80 nucleotides in length. Their secondary structure includes four short double-helical elements and three loops (D, anti-codon, and T loops). Lineage: Duplodnaviria; Heunggongvirae; Uroviricota; Caudoviricetes. The record is from Rfam by way of RNAcentral.
GCCGAUGUGGCGGAACGGUAUACGCAGCGUCUUCAGACGGCGUGGCCUAGGGCAUGAGGGUUCGACUCCCUCCAUCGGCA